This 72-nucleotide transfer RNA is filed under the name Mus musculus (house mouse). RNAcentral describes it as "tRNA-Val". Lineage: Eukaryota; Metazoa; Chordata; Mammalia; Rodentia; Muridae. The record is from RNAcentral.
GGGUCACAGCCUAGUGGUAAAGUAUUUGCCUGACAUGCCUAAGAUCCUGGGCUCGAUAUCCAGAAUUGCCCA